CUCUUCCGCUCUGUUACUCCCUAAAAGGCACUCUUCCUGCUUUUGGCUUUCAUAGUUUCUGUCAGUAGCAUAAUCCCCACCACUAUGGUCUGUGACCACUGUGUUUUGUGAAAUCCUGUAUACCCCCAUAGGCUUUCUCAGUGUCCGUGGCAUUUUUUGUGGCUUCCCAACACUAGAAUAAGUUUUUCUGCCAAAAUGAAUGAGGCUUUUGGUGCCCUCUAGACUUCCCACCACCUCCCAACAUGGGAGAAUUGUGAAACUGUCCGCAAGACUGCCUUCCUGCUCCUCCUCAUGCUCCUGGUGUUGGUUAUUCUGGUCUGACACAGGCCUGUGGGAUGUCUCGUAAAGCCUCUGUUGGCUUUACCCUACUUAGCUCCUCUCCGGUCCAUUUCAGUUAGACUAUGUCAUUAUGAGGCCACCAGACCUUUCAUUGGAAUUCUGUGAAUCUCCACCUGGCCUAUCUCUGGGUGGAACCUGGUCAGUACUAUUGCCCUCUUUGAAACCCUCUUCCCCUACAUCCCUGGCACUGGUUGUUUUCUGUGAAAACAACAGUGUACAGGUUCAGUUUUGAACUGGCCCUGUAGAAAUGGGCCAGGAACUGUGUAGACAAGAGGGAGAAAUGAGAGCUAUUGGAGAAAUGAGAAUGAGUUUUUUUCUUUUUAACAUUUUUUUUAUAUUAGUAAUAAACACAGUGGAAAAACAGCAUUUU
Long non-coding RNA from Otolemur garnettii (small-eared galago), 709 nucleotides. RefSeq lists it as uncharacterized. The record is from RefSeq and is a predicted model, not a curated record. Lineage: Eukaryota; Metazoa; Chordata; Mammalia; Primates; Galagidae. The transcript is spliced from 3 exons.